GUAAGCGCGCAGGUGUAAAAGGGGCCUCUCACCUGCACUGCAGGUACACCUGUAGAAUUGUCCAGGUGUGGAAACACAGGGCAUGGAAACAUCGGUGUGUGAAGCACUCCUGUCUUGGGCAGACCGGGAUGGGGAGCCUCUAAGGAAAAAACACCUAUGUGGCACACACCUGCAUGAGAGCUUAGGUUUAAAGAAGACAUCUGCACGGAUCUGUAAGAACGCCGAGGGACACAUCUGCCUUGAAACACAUCUAUUUGGAGUAUAGCUGAAUGGAAGCCUGCCUGUGGGGAAAACAGCUGUAGAGAACACACCUGCAUGUUAAACACCUGGCUGAGGCACUGUGGCGCGGGGCACAUCUGUUCUGGGAAUGCAUCUGCAUGGCUCACCUAUGAAAUGAACAAGAUUUGCAGGAGGAAUUGCCGUGUGGAAAGACAUUAGAAACACCUGUACAAGACACACCUGCAUUGAAGUGCGCCUGUAGGGGACCCCGUUAUAUGAAAAAGCCUCAUAUGGAUGGAUAUUUAAAUGGAAUACACCUGUGGUGGCGGAGGCUGUGUAACGCAUUCCUGGGUGGAGGAAUACCUGUUGAGACACAUACCUAUGAGGUGGAGGAAACAACCUUGCAGGAGGGACAGCUGCGUAGAACUGAGCUCAUGUGAGAGGGAGAUCUGAGCACGCCUGCGUGGGGCACUCUAACAGAAGCACAUCUGAGGGGGGCUCGUGUGUACUGAGGUCCAUCUGUCAAGGAUGCACCUGUGAGAAACCGUUUGUUUGGGACAUCUCCGUGGGAAAAUAUCUGUAUCCCCCUAUGUUGCAGGGCACCUGCAAGGGCCAUCUGUGAAUGAAAACGUCUGUGAAGAGACCCUCUAUAAGAGGCUUUGUCUGGAACACACCUGUUAGAGCACACCUAUCUGGGCAUAUUGCCAGGGAGCCAUAUUGCCCUCUCGGCUGUAUCUUUGGAUAAAGGACGAUGGUGAUAAGACGACCUCAUCCUGCGGACUCUACAGUGAAGAGUUAUGGUUAAGGGAAAAUUAAUCCCUUCCAGGUCAUAGAUCAACGAUGGAAUGAAUGUGGUGUUCCCUGCUGUUGCUGCUGCUGCUGCUAAGUCGCUUCAGUCGUGUCCGACUCUGUGCGACCCCAUAGACGGCAGCCCACCAGGCUUCCCCGUCCCUGGGAUUCUCCAGGCAAGAACACUGGAGUGGUUUGCCAUUUCCUUCUCCAAUUCAUGAAAGUAAAAAGUGAAAGUCGUGUCCGACUCUUAGCGACCCCAUGGACUGCAGCCUACCAGGCUCCUCCGUGCAUGGAUUUUCCAGGCAAGAGUACUGGAGUGGGGUGCCAUUGCCUUCUCCGGUGGUGCAUCCUCGGUUGUGCUAAUACCCGGGCGUCCCUGACCCUCCCCCCUCCAGCUCCGCCCUCAGCCCCCUCCCCCCAAAG
Bos taurus (domestic cattle) is the source of this 1434-nucleotide long non-coding RNA. NCBI's taxonomy places the organism in Eukaryota, Metazoa, Chordata, Mammalia, Artiodactyla, Bovidae. The record is from Ensembl.